GAGUUUGACUGGGCUACUAUCGGUAGUAAACUGCUCGGUUUACUACCGAUUUAUUUUUGAUGAUAGAGCUUCCAAAUCGACGAUCGGCACAGUUGAACAUGAUCUAGACCAUUUAAAUUAUCUAAAAAUCAAAUUUUAUGAUUUUUUGGCAUCACCAACUGAACGAUCAAAUGGUCACAAAAUCUAUAAUUUUAAUGGCCGAUAUGGUGCGUUUGCUUGUUUAACGGUAUAAAAGAGUUCAAAUCAACUUAAUUUUUGUUAAAAAAUUCUUUAAACUAUUUAAAAUAAGGUCUAGACUCUAGAUCUCAAAUAUAAAAAUUGCAUCAUCACUUUUUGAAGGAUAUUCAUUUCCAGCCAUUCAUUUUUCUGUUCACUUGAUGGACAAGAGAACAAUAUCGAAAAUGUGUGUAAUUUGAUUUUCAGAUAGUUUAAAUAGUUUAGAUCAUGUUUAACGGUGUCGAUCAUCAAUUUUGAAGCUCUAUCAUCGAAAACAAAUCGGUAGUAAACCGAACCGUUUACUACCGAUAGUAUUCUAGCAAAACUCUCUCUAUGAGUUUGAUUGGGCUACUAUCGGUAGUAAACUACUCAGUUUAUCGGUAGUAAACUACUCAGUUUACUACCGAUUUGUUUUUGAUGAUAAAGCUUCCAAAUCGACGAUUGGCACUGUUGAACAUGAUCUAGACCAUUUAAAUUAUCUAGAAAUCAAAUUUCGUUUAUUGGGUAAAUUUGCUAGCCAACAAAAUCAAACCAACAAAAACCUACUGUAAUUACUCUCUCUCGCUCUCUUUCACUUGCUCGCAUAAUCACUUUUCCUAAAUUAUUUUUCUUAGCGUUAUGAAAUUGUAUCAUGCAUUUUUUUGUAUGUUAAACUAUUAGGCAUAUUUCUUAUAUCAAAUUUUAAGUAAUGUUUCAUAAAAUUUAAACUAUAGAUUGUAAGAUGUUAAAAUUUUCAAGCGACUCGUUUAGAACUCGAGCUCGCUCGACUCAAAAUUAGGCUUGCUCGAGCUUAAGUCGAAUUAAUUUUAAGUUGAGCCUGAACCUAAAUGUAGGUUCAAAAUUAUGUCCAAUCCAAGCUUGAGCUGAGAUAAGUUCACUCAAGUUCGGCUCAUUUCCACCUCCCAGUAGAGAUAAGCUUGCAGGGUUUUAAAUAAUUGAAAAAGUUAAUAGUGCUUCUAGAAAUUUUUGUCCAGCAAUAGUUUUGUAGAGGCUUCAAUUAAAUGAAUCAAACAAAGAUCUUUUUUUGGCUAUGUUACAAACUGUAUAGUACCUUUAAUUAAGUGUUGUCUUACUAGUGUUAUAUACAUUAGAAGAAAUAUGCUAUGCUAUGCUACUUUUUCUAAUACACUUCUCUUUUCAACAGAAGCAAAAGCUCAUUUACUAUUUAAUUAUUAAUUUGUUUGCGUAUCGCAAUAUGCAAUUGCUCUUGUACGGGCCAUUUGCCCUCGCGGCACUUAACCGUAUACAAUUUCUGUGUUACCGACCGUCCCUAGAGCAAGUGGCAAAGGGCUUGGUGGUUGGUACCUGAGAUCCAAAUUCGAAUCCUAGUUGAUUCACAUUUUCAGCUAAGUUUAUUUCUAAAUGAAAUAAAUGAAGCGGAUAGCGUGCUACCUAUCUCUCAAAAAAAAAAAAAGAAGAAGAAAUCUGUGUUAACAUACGACGAAAUUUGAAAUUGGAGCUUCUGCAUCAAAGUAUGCAUAUAGCAAACAAGCACAAGUUUCUAUUCCUAGGUUAAGAAUCACAUUUUAGUUUUUGUACCGAGUUCUAAAUUUUUUUCGUUUGCUAAUGCUUAAUAAGAGGUACGAGUCUAUAACUGAAACCAGGAGCAAAAAUAGGUAUGCAAUUUCUCCUGUUGUGGGGUAUCACAACGCUUAAUUAUCAUAAUCUGAUUAGAAUUAUUAGUCCCAUACUUGGAUAAAGUCCUAAUAUAUUGGUUUAUAUCGUUCUUAAUUAAUUUAAUCUUUAUACAACUAAAUCUCCUCUCUGAGAUACGCAUUAAAAUAAUAUAUUCCCUUCCUCUCUCAGCUGUUGAUGUUACAUGCCUUUGCAAUUUUGCGCAAGGGUUUGUAGCAUGGCCUUGCACCUAUUCUCGAUCCCUCCAAGGCACGGGACUUGACGCCGGAGCAACACUUAGGCUUAGUUUAGUUCGAUAAUGAAUAAGAACUGCUUAUUUCAGAGAGAGAUAAAGUUCAGAUAUAAGCAUGAAAUAUAAGUGAUAAAGUUCAGAUAUAAGCAUAAAUAUAAGUUUUUGUUUGGAUGAAAAUUAUGCUAUUUCUGAGAAUAAAAUAAAUAGUGUUUGUAUGUUAGAUUGGAAUGGCAAAAAUAAAAAAAAAAUUAUAAUUUUCAAUUAAUAAUAUUUUUUUAUCUAAUUAAUUAAUAUUAAAAUAUUAGUUAAAACUAAUUUAGUAAAUUAAAAAUUUUAUUAGCCAUGAAUAUUGUAUAAAAUUAUGAAAAAAAGAUAUUCAUAGAAACAUCCUGUCUCUUCAGAUUCCUCUCCCUCUAAAAGUGACAUAACAUAGGAAAGGUACGUGAACUAACUCAUUGUCGGAAUACUAAAUCUGAGAUUGAGAAAUAUAAAUGAGAGAAAUAAUAUUUUUAAGUGGGAAAUUGAAGCUUCCGAAUUUGUCACUGAUCAUCUAAUUGUUAGACAAUAUUACUAUCUUUAGAAGAGAUAUAUCGCGCGGUUUGGAUUGAUUUAUUUGGUUUUGGUAAAAAUACUUCUAUUUAGUUUAAAUCGUCUUGAAUUAAUUACUAAAAAUAAGAUAUAAUCAUGAUUAAUUUAAUGUUAAAAAGCAUUAACCUAAGAUAAUAAUAUAAUAUAAUUAAUAUCUCUCAUUAUUUCAUUAUUAUUUAAAAUUAACUAAUACAUAAUAUUUUCCUUCUACUUCUAAGUUCUAACCUUGGUUGCUAAUUAAGAUAGGAACAAGGGACUGUCAUACACACAAUAAGAAUUAGGUAUUAAAAUCAUUAAAUGAAGAUAUAAAUAAUGGCCUAGUGUCUUAUACUGCAAAUUAAUACAUUAAACUUUUCAUUUGUGUGCUAUUCAAAAAAUUAAAUAUCUUAUUUAAUAUAUAUAUAAAAAAAUAUAAAAGCGAAUGAAUUUGGGAAUCUAGUUUACUUAACUUUACUUUAAUAAAAAAAUUGAGCCAAUGAAUAUUCUCUCCAAAAAAAAAAAAAGGUCGAGCCAAAAUAUACGUACCAAAUUUGGUAUAAAUAUAAUACAAAUGCAUAUAUAGAGAAGAAGCCAUGAGCAUGGUGUCUUGAGAGGUAAUACAAACAAGAACAAUUAGAUAACGACGUUGGAGACAACAAUAGAGACAUGCCAACCUGUGGAAAACCCUAAUUUCAUUUACCCAAAAAUGACCGUGGUCGAUCACUAUGUCAAAGUCAUAUAUGAACAAUAAUGGAGGAACCGUCGUAAUAAUAUAUGCUGUGGAAUUAAUAUUAUACAUUAUUUAGGCGCAUUAUGCAAAUUCUGCAGCGACAUCAAAAUAUUUGGGACGUUAAUUGAUGGAAUGUGCUAAAGUUGAAAAUUUUACCCACUAAUUGCUAUCGCCUUAAUUUUAUUGGUGACAAAUUAUGAUGAUGGGACCAUGAUAACUACAAAGCUACAUACCUGAUGUUGCCCAAGUUCUCCAAUGAAAACCAAGUAAGUUAAUGCAUUUAUAUACACUAAUUUGCCCCUAAAUAGACAGUUUUGAAGAGGCCCCUUAACCAUCUUUUAUUUUUUAUUGACACAUUUUAACUUAAUUACUAAUACUUUUUUGUAGUUGAGUUAUUUUAAUUAGUUAAAUUAUUUUUUAAAACCUAUUGGCUCUAUUAGCUGUUAGUUGCAGCUGUUAAUCAUCCUAUAUUUCUCUAUAUAUGGGAUUAAAUUUAAUGGAAUCAUCAAUAAACUCUAGUUUAAUUGAUUAUAGGAAAGAAAUUAAGUUUUGGGGCCCUUCAAUACAUCAUGACAUACAGACGAGGGGUUCCUUAUAUAUCAUAGAGUCAGUUUUUAAAAUUUUUAAAAUUCCAUUGUUCCUCGCCGAAUUAUUUUUGUUGAUGUAUAAUUAAGCACUACUUUAUUUAAUAGAGCAUUAAGCUAAAGAAUUUAGCAUUUUAUAACCUAACUGUAAUGAGGAUAAAUUUCACGACUAUUCCGAAGUUGCUAGAAACGAAAGUUUACAGUUUGAUGCUGAGAAAAUCACAAGCAAUCUUAGUUUUAUACAGUUCGUACACCUGAAUAAUUGCAACUAGACCCAACAUAUCCAUCCAAGGGUCAUUCUCUUUCACAUUAGUUUUAUCAUUUUUUUUAAAAAAAAAUACUGAAAUCCAAGAAGGGUUGUUCACAAACCCUAGCGGUGAGUGUUUCAAUCGGAGGAUGGAGAAUUAUAAUCUUAUUACAAAUUUUUAUGGGGUAUAGAUUUAGCAUUUCCCGUUGUAACGGAGUUGAAUGUAGUGGAGGAGAUCAAUAUGUCACAAAUAUAUAUGAGGUUAAUUUCUUGUGAAAUUUAAAAAGAAAAAAAAUGUAGCUAGGUUUCUAUAUUCUACCUUAUCUAAUUAGUAUGAAAUUUCCCCCCUAUUUGUGUAGUUUAGUUUGUUCCAAUUAAUUAGUUUCAAUCUAAUAUACGUUUAACUGUAUUUAUAAUGUUUUCAAACAAAAAGAUUUUCAAGUUACUCAAAAAGACACAUAUAAUAUAUGUUGGUCAAAAAGACAUAUAUAAUUAAUUUAGAAAACUAAGUGUACUGGAUCAUGAUGCUGCAUAAGAAACAAAUCUAGCCAUUGAAAGAAUCUAUUAAUUUGUGGGCAUUGCAUUUGAUACUCUUCCUCUACGCCAAAUGUUUAGGUGGUGUAUUGUGAAACAUUUUCCUGUGGAAAAAAUAUAUAUAUUCAUGAAAAUGCUUUUUCGAUUAAAAAGUCAAAUUCCUUUUCGUAGCGUGAGUCAAUGAAAUACCACAACUAAUUAAUUCACCUUGUAAAUCACUAUGGACCCUCUAUUUUAUGCAUCUUAUCCAAUUUUUGAAUAUUUUUUAACAGGUGUGUUACAAGCACUUAUUAGGAGAACAUACCCUUCUAUAGUAAAGACCUUGGAGAUAGAUGAUUAAUUAUAAACACAUCAAUUCAAUGGAAAACAAGAAAACUUUUAUACUUGCAAAAUGCUCCUGCUGAAGAUAACCAUGGUUAAAUAUUAAAGAUGCCCAAUAAUGGAGGAAGUGUCAUGAUCAUAAAAAUUGAAUGAGCUAACACUCGAACCUUCUUAGGUGAAUUAUGUAAUGGCGAUCGAGGGACAUGAAGAAUAGUUAGGUACAAUAAUUGUUAUGCAAGGUAUAGCUUGCAUGUUGAUUAAUUGCAUCAAAUUUUCAAAUGUAAUCAAUUAAAGGGAGAUAUAAUUAAUUAAGAUUUCUGUGCGGCGCCUACAGGACUAAUUAAAAAAAUAAAGAAAAAAAAUCACAGAACAUAAUUGUUUCAUAGAUUCAUAAGUUGAGGGGAGUAAUGGCGAUGGGGAAACUUUAGACACUAGAGGCAACCACACUGUCGUAUGCAAAUUUAACCCUACAAAUUGAAUUUUUUUUGUUUGCUAGUAUGCAAGGCAUUUAUUAAUAUUUUGUCUAGUAGUUUGAAGGCUUAUUCUGUGGAGAAACACCUAGUAAUUACGAAAUCCGAGGACCAUUUCAAAAUAGUUAUUUGAGGUCAUUCGAGAGUUAUACUUCGUUGGAAACUGCAUGUCAAUUUUGGUCUUAUCUCACUUAAUUAACAUCGCUCUAGAGUCGUCCAAACUACAUGUCAUCUUACGUAACAUCUCUCUCUCUCUCUCUCUCUCUCUCUCUGUGUGGGGGUUCAGUUGCCUUUCUAUAUGUUCAGCAAAGAGAACCAAAUUAAGAAAAGAGAACUAGCAAUCUACGUAAACAAAUACUAGAUUUUUGUUUGGUUAGUUGUGAGAAGAAAGGUGCUCACUGUGAACAAUCUGCUGAAACGUGGGUGGUGUGGCGAGGAGACUUGUGUUUUCUGUUUGAACGUGGGUGAGACCAUUGAUCACCUCUUCAUGGGUUGUGAUGACACCAAAGCGCUGCUGGAGGUUUUUCUUCCAAAUAAAUCAGGCCUGCGUAAUUGUAUUUCUGCUAGUCUGCUCUGGAAGCUAAGUAGAAGAAAAGAGGGAGCGAUUGGAGGAAAAGAGUCAACAAUCGCCACAACAUGGUGGGUCGUUUGGUUGGAGCGCAAUAGACGAAUCUUCCAGGAAACCAAACGAACGACGAGUUUAUUAGCGUCUGAGAUCCGCUCGCUUAGAAACAUCUAGGAUCUUUUUUGUUAUAUAUAUAUAUAUAUAUAUAUAUAUAUAUAUAUAUAUAUAUAUAUAUAUAUAUAUAUAUAUAUAUAUAUAUAUAUAUAUAUGAUUCUUGCCAAUACCUUCACAGGCCAUAAAGAAGGAAAGGAAUAUUCCCUAUCGGAUCAUCAGAUGCUUAAAAUAUGCUUGUGUGACGAGUUGAGGUGACAUUUUGGAUAUAUUUUUAAUCAAAUUGGGCAACAUUUUGUAUCAUGCUAUGGGCAAAAGAAGAGCACAUCGAAUUUGAAAUCUCAAUAUGUUUGACGCCGUCGUGAAUGCCAGGUAUAUAUGUCUUUUUUUUUUUUUUUCCCCAUUUUUUUUUGCUACGCUUUUAAGGAAAUACCCAUGCGGCUAAUUAAUUAGUGGAAAUUAUUAUAAGGUCUCUCCGUUAAUUAAUAAAUGGAGGACCUUUUUCUCGUAUUAAAAAAUGGAAAGAUUGGUCUCUUACGACUCACAUCAAAUGUCACCCAUUGGAACAAGAAAUCGACCCGAGUGUUUGAUUCUUUUCUUUUCCAUGCUUUAUCAUUGAAAACCCACUAAUUCGGGGGCUAAUUACAACAUUGUUUGUAGGUCCCUAAACAGUUAUUAGUUGUUUCUGCAGUGUUUUCAUAUGAUUUACUAUUCUUAAAACUCUGAAAAUUCAUUUUAACUUUUGCUACUACCAAAACUUUACUUUUGAUUCACAAGUGUUUUAUUUUUAAUGGGUGCAUUAGGGAUGUCAAUGGGUAUGGAACUAUAGAUAUCCGAAAUUUUAUCUGAACCCGAACCCGAACCCAAAUGAAACGGAUAUAUCCGAUGCUAAAUGGAUAUGGAUUCGGAUAUGGAUAUCAAAAAUAGAAACCCGACGGAUAUGAAUUCGAAUAUAGAUUUUGACUGCACCCGACCCGAACUCGAACCCGAUCCGAACCCGAAUUUAUUUUGUAUUAUAUAAUAUAUAUACCCGACCCGAACCCGAACCCGACCCGAACCCGAAUUUAUUUUGUAUUAUAUAUAUAUAUGAUGUUAUAUUUGAAUUUGUAUUUUAAAAAUUUAGAUUUAAUAUAAUGUAUUUUGAAAUACUAAAAAGAAAAAUAAUUGUUUCGGGUUCUAAUUUUCGGGUUCGGGUUCGGGUUCGGGUUUCGGAUUUUUGGUCGGAUUCGGGUUUGGAUAUGAAUUUUUAAAAUCNAUGUUUUAAUAUCUUCUUCAAAGUUUUGUCAUUAUUUUAAUGUGGUUGAAAUAAGAUCGAAUUUUUUGCAACUUUGGAUUCGUUUGAAGCAAAAUCUCUCAAAAUUAAGGAAUUAAUUAUAUAUGGUUGCAAUACAUUUGAGUUUUAUUAGUACAAUGGAGGUCGAGGGCUUACCAUGUAAUCUCAUAGGGCUAUGAUGAAAUAUAUCAAUAAACUCUUUUUUCUACAAUUCUUUUGAGAAUUAUCACAACCUCUUAAUUAGCCAUUUUCAUUGAUUUUUGCUUAGUCAUUUACCUUCCAUAAAUUUUCAAAAGAGUUUAAAAAAUGACCAAAAUGAAAAUCACAACAUGGCACAAGCAAUAGCCAGCCACUAACUACACUACAUCGAUCGUACCUUAAGGGACCUUAAGAUAUUUUAAUAUACUUUAUUCUUUAAAUCCAUGAAAUGUGAAAAGUUCUGAAAAAUCUGCAAAAGUUUAAACAAAAAUAAAACAUCCAAAAAAAUCUGUAGAAAGUUUGUACAAAUUCUAAACCUAGUUUUAAACCUUUUGGUGUGUCCAUAAUAAAGUUCCUUAGAAAGUUCAUAAAAAUGCCUCCUCUAUUUAAUUGAACGCACAUUGCCCACGAGGCGUAAGUAGACAGUUCGUAAUCUAGCUGCUUUGCAUCAUCAGAAGUGCUAACAUAGAACUAGAUAGUGGAGUAGUGGGUUUAUAUUAAUUGUGGAGUUCAUGAUAACUAGUUUUUAGGAGCACAUGUGUAGUCGAUGCAGUAGAGAACAUAUAUUGAUCGAGUUGGAUUUUCUAGAUACUCAAAUUUUAUUCUUCUAUGGGAAUUCUUGUUUAUAAGCUUGUAAUUUACCAAGGUUGUGGGUUAUCUUGACCCUUAAGUUUUAUUCUUCUAUUUAGAUGAUUAGAGGAGGGAGAGGAAAGAAGAAAUAUUGGCUCAAUUUCAUUAACGAAUUGAAUUAAACAGAUUAUAAUUAGAGGUCCAAAUUAUAAUUAAGGCUCGGACUCCUACUCCGAUUAUGAUAGAACAUAAUAAGUGCUACCCAUAUCAGUAGUGAUACUCCUCUAAAUAUGUACUUUCUUUUUAUGGAAAGUAAAUCCAACUACAUCGUAUCUGAAAAGAGCAAAUGGAGUAUAUCGAAAAUCAACAAUUAAACAAGCUCCUAGUUUCUUUGAAAUGAAAUGAUAUUUAUGAUUGAAGUUUUUUAUAAAUAGAAUUUCUAAGUUUGACCGCAAAUUCAUAGGUCUAAACAACCUUCUUCGAUUGCCUCGAAAUUGUUUAUCAUGAUCUAAGGUUUUAUAAAUAGGAAUUCUAAGUUUGGCAGCAAAUUCAGAGGUCUAAACAAUCUUUGAUUGCCUCGAAAUUGGUAACGAACUUAGUCAGUCUUUAAUUUCGCACUAUGUUCGACCGUUGCGCGCCGUAGCUUAUACUCCUUGACCUGCGCACAUCGAUACAAAAGUCCCCUUGAUCAAAAACCAUGGGAACAAGAUAUAGUCUUUGAACGUUGAUGGCCUUUCCUGCGUAAGUUCUCGUCAAGUUGAUUGAGCCUGAUCACUUAGCCUCGAUGUCUCUGUCGAAACCAGACCUAACCAAUUACACCCUCAAUUUGGGAAGCUAUUCCCUCAUCAAUCCUUCUUGUGUUCAUGAAAUGGAGAAAAACCGAUGAAGCGUUUUGAGGGUAGUAAUGAGAGUAGAUCGACAUCGGCUUGAUGAGGACAUUGGCAAUGGCGGUGUGGACAAUGAGGAGGAUUGAUCGCAAUCGGCGAGUACGACGAGCAGCGAUGUGAUUGGGAAUCAAACUCUGAUAAUAAUUGUUAGGGUUGGUUGAUUCCUAAUGCUCUUGCAGCUAAUUGGGCCUUUACGAGGUGGUAUUCCUACUUCUAGUUUAUGAGUAAUCAAAUUAACUAUGCUACUCUUAAUUGCUGGCUUAGAUGGGUCGGCAUCAAACAGUUCUACAAGUGGUAUCAGUGCAGGUCAUGGGUUCAAUUGCCGUACGCUACAAAUUUAUGCUCGUGUUUCGGAGGAGGGGAGAUUACUGGCUUAAAUGGGCCAACAUCAAGUAAUUGUGGGAGAUUGGGCCAAAUUACAUUUAAAACGGCAGAAGGCCGAGUAGAGCUGACUCACGUUUCAAGUGUCUAAAGACCGUGUUAGUCAGAGUUACAAUCAAAGCCAGGUGCUAUAUGCAUUUACACUUUAAGUGAAUUAGUUGCGUUGAUCUUUAGUUGCAUUAUUUUUUCUAAUAGCGCGAACUUGUAGAAUUAAUGAUUAGGUCCAACAAUCCUAUAUUAAUUAAUUUAGAAGCACGAUUACAUGCAAUCAUCCUAUUUUAAUGGCCCAAAUAUCAUAGAGUUCUGGUAUUAUAAGGAAUCUUAAUAAAGAACUUUGUGUAAUAAGAGUUAUGGUAGUAAUUAAGAUACUGUUAAGACUAAUACUACAAUUUGUACCAGACACGUUGGCCAAUCCGUAUCGUGAUAUAUUUCUAAUAAAAAUAUUGACCAAGUAUCACUAUAAGAAAAUUAAUAUUUAAGGAUUUUUUUUAUAUUUAACGAUACUUAAAAGCGUCCUAAUAUAGUGUAGUGUCAUAUUUGAAAGAGUCGAUUAAAACAUCGGUAAAUGAAGAGUCGCCACGUAUAUCGUCAAGCAUCAGUAAAAUAUAUUCUAAUGCUUUAAAGUAUCAGAAGUUUUUAAAAUCCUAAUGCUUUGAAGCAUCAAAAAAUUAAAAAUAAUAAUAAAAUUUAUUAUUUAAUAAAUUAAUUUAAUAUAAUAAAAAAUUCAUAUAGUGAUACUUUUUGAAAUGUCGGUAUUUACUAUAUUAUAGAGACGCUUGGAAAUAAAUAUAUGUCAUCCAAAAUAUCUAUCUAGUUCUAGGUGCGGUACAAGAUAGGAAUUAACCAUUAGAUAAAUAUAGGUACCCAUCAAAUAUAGAUUGAAAAUUUAAUCCGCUAAAAAUAUAGUAAUCGAACUCAUGAGGCUUAGAAUUAGUUCUUAUCAUGUUACACGAAAGAUAGAAUUUAUUUAUGAGAAUAUUCAUAUGACAAAAACUUAAUACUUUUUUAUUUUACAAUUAUAGUACAUAGUGUGAAAAAUUACUACAACAAAAACGGUCUAUAGCAACAUUUUUAAAUGUCGGUACAGGUCAAAAAAAAGACUGCCGCCUAAAUUACCGACAUUUUUAAAAACUGUUGCUAUAUGUGGGAUCGCUAGGUAUAUAAUAACAGUUAAAGAGUGUCGCUAUAACCUAACAAAGUGCUGCUAAUUUACAAAUAUUUAUUUAAGCAUUUAGCAGCCGCCGGAACUCUACCUCGUUGGCCGCGGUGGCGAAGGAGGACGAGAGGAAGAGAUCUUCGUUUAGGAUUUCAGUCGAUUGAGUGAGGGGAGAAGGAGAAAUGAUAAUCGAUUUUUCUUCUCUUUUUCUUUUCUGUUUGUAAUCGGGCUGAAUGGGCUGGGUGGGGUGGGUUGAAUAGAAUAACCUUUUAUUUUUUGUUGAAUUGAACUUUAUAUUUAGACAUUAGUAGAUUUUUUUUUAAGUUUUGACAUAAAUUAAAAACUUACACAAAAAUGUUCCAAACAUGUGUCCCUAUAAUCUAAUUCUGUUGUACUGAAUUGAAAUACAAUCUCCCACAAAAUAGCAGAUGGUAGCAACUGCCAUGCUCCUCGAUCGGAGAAAGAACUUAACUAAGAUUUUCUUUGCCUGUACGUUAUUAAUUUCUACUUUACAAAUAUACAUAGCAACUAUAUAUAUAAAGAGAGAGAGGGUUGAGCUGGAAUAUUACUAUCGGUAGUAAACGUGCUCCAUUACCACCUAUUUGUUUUCAAUAAUGGAGCUUCCAAAUCGACGAUUGGUACCGUUGAAAAAUGAUCUAUACUACUUAAAGUAUCUAGAAAUCAAAUUUCAUACUUUUUCAAUAUUAUAUUCUUGUCCAUCAAGUAGGCGUAAAAAUGAACGACUGAAAAUGGCUAUCCUCUAAAAAGUGAUGAUAGGAAUUUUCUAAUCAAGAUCGAGAGUAUAGAUCUUGGUCUAAAUAGUUUAAAUAAUUUUCUUAUCAAAACUCAAUUGAUUUGGAUAGCUUUACACCGUUAAACGAAAAAACGUCUCAUAUCGACCAUUAAAAUUACAAAUUUUGUAAUCCUUUGAUCAUUUGGUCAAUGAUAUCAAAAAGAUUUGAAAUUUGGUUUCCAGAUACUUCAAGCGAUAUAGAUCAUGUUCAAUGGUGUCGAUCAACGAUUUGAAGGUUCUAUCAUCGAAAACAAAUGGGUGGCAACGGAGCCCGUUUACUACCGUUAGCAUUCCAGCUCAACUAUAUAUAUAUAGUGUAGAGCUACUAUGCUAUCAGAAGUAUAGAGGGUUUUAUGCUUCCGACUUUUUGACCCUUGGAUUAAGAAUUGUACGAUUGGGAAGAUUGCGGUCCCCCGUAGGGUUGAGUAGUACCCCUAGGAUUGAGUGAUCCCCACAGUAAUAGAAGUAAUCCAAAGGCUAGAAAUAAUCAAAGAGAUUAAUCUAAGGGCCAAAAAGUCAGAAGCACCGGAUCCUCUGUACUUCCGAUAGCAUAUUAGCUCUACUCUCUCUCUCUCUCUCUCUCCAUAUAUAUAUAUAGAGCUAGGCUGGUAUACUAUCGGUAGCAUGGAGCCCUCCGUGCUACCAAGUUGUACUCAUAAGUUUUUGGCCGUUUGAUCUACCCUUUAAUCAUUUCACCCGUUAUAUUAUACUAUUCAACCAACCACCUACUCAACCCUAGGGGGCCCACUAUCAACCUAACCGUAACCACUUUCAUCCUAUCCGCACAUUUUUUCAUCUGAACGGCCGAAAAGUUAUAAGUACAAAGGGCUCUAUACUCAUAUGAGUAUAAUAGCCCCAGCCUAUAUAUAUAUAUAUAUAGAGAGAGAGAGAGAGAGAGAGAGAGUAGGUCUUGUGUGCUUUUGGGAAUACGGAGGCAUCCGUGCUUCUAUGCCAUUUUCGACGAUGGAGCUUUUGAAGCCAUGAUCUGCUCUAUUAGACUUGAUUUAGUGGAUUUGAAGUACCUAGUGAUCGAAAUGGUUUAAAGUCAACGGCUGAAAAUAAAAAUCUCAUAAAAAAUGACGAUAUAAUACUAAAAUUUUCGAUCAAAGAUAUUGAUCUUGCAGUAAUAGUAUAAAAAAUUUUCUAUAAAAAUUUCGACUGAUUUGAAGUUAAACGUGCAAACGAUAUACGUCAACCAUUAAAAAUUGUUGAUUUUUAAUCCUUUCGAUCACUAGGUAAAUGAUAUCAAAAAUCGUAAAAUUUAUUUUCUAAAUACUUCAAAUAUAUUAGAUCAAGUCUAAUGGAGCAGAUCGUCGAUUCGGAAGCUCUAUUAUCAAAAACAGCUUAGGAGCACAGAGGCCUCCGUACUUCUAACAGCACACAAGACCUACUCUAUAUAUAUAAUUGAGCUCCUAUACUCUUAUGGUAUUAAGUUAUUGGUGUUUGUAAGUUUUCGGUCCAUGGAUUAAGAGAUGUACAGUUAGAAUAAUAGUGGUCAUCAAGGGUUGAGUGUUGGUUGGUUGAGUAAUAUGAUCAAAUAGAUAGAAAUGAUCAAAAGAAUAGCUCUAACGGUAAAAAUUACAAGUANUAUGAUCAAAUAGAUAGAAAUGAUCAAAAGAAUAGCUCUAACGGUAAAAAUUACAAGUACUAAGUGCUUGGUGCUUUUAAAAGCAUCAUAGCCAAUAUAUAUAUAUUUAUAUAUAUAUAUAUAUAUAUAGAGAGAGAGAGAGAGAGAGAGAGAGAGAGAGAGAGAGAGAGUUAAGCUGAAAUGCUAUCAUUAGCAAACAGACUCCGUGGCCACCCUUUUUUUCAAUGAUGAAGCCUGUAAAUCGAUGAUCGACAGUAACUCGCAAAUACCAGGCAAUAUGAGACUCAUCUCACUGACCUUAAUCGAUCUUGUAAGAGAGCCGCGCUUUACCCACAACAGUCAUCAACAUAAGAGUCUCACUCUUUCUGCUGUAUUACGGGACUCAGCCGAGACUCAUCAUACACUUACGACCGGUAAUUAGCUCUGAUAUCAAUUAUGACGCUCCACUUCCUAUGGAUCAUCUAUCUUAAAACUAUUCUAGUCCUAACACACUUAACAAUUUUAAUCUUUUGGGCCUAACUGUCGCCCAAAAUUAUAUAGCCGAGUUAAUAAUUUUUAACCUUAUUAUAUCUUAUAUAUAGGAUUACUUGUUCUCACAUUAAAAAUAUUGAAUUUAAACAUUUACCAACAUUAACUUUUUUAAACAGUAAGAUAAAAUAACACCUUUAUCUUUUAUUAACCAAUGAUUAAUUCUUUUUAUUUUUUAAAAAAUAAAGUACCGAAUUUUUUCUCAAUAUCAAAUCCAUAAAAAUACUCGUCCAUGGGCCUACCUCAUGAAUUAUUUGUGUACUUGACACGCGCGAUAAUGACCCACAAUUAAUGAGUCACCAUCACCUCUCAAAUUGAAGUUGGCCCCAUUACAGAUCUAGGAAAGAAGAACCUUACUUCUCUCCACCCAACUCCCAAAAAUACUUAAAACUUUAUAAAAAUUAGGAUUCGGAUGUUAUAAUUGCUUUUUGUUGCCUUCUUCGAAAUAGCUUGCCCUUGUCGACGUGCCGUAUCCACGAAAAAUCUGUAUGAUUUAUCACCGCAUGUUUUUCAGGUGCGUCGGGCGGGAUGGAGCUUGAUGCAAAGUGAGGAAUCCACAAAAGAAAUAAAUAAGAGAUAAAAUCUCAAAAUAUAAGCUGGUUUAUUAAUUCAUGCAACUUCAAUUUUAGUACCCUUUUUUUUUUGGCAUGCAUGUGCUCUGCUCUAAAACUCUCCAAAAUAGCACAAGGCUCAAGUCACGCAAAAGUCCUAAGAUAUGCGCACAACCCACUGCGAACAGAAAUAACAGCUUAACGAGUUGAACAUAUAAAAUUCUAAAAAGAUUCUAAAGAAAAGUGAAGGAUAAUACAACAUAUGCAUCUUGCAGUUGCAUUGAGUUUUGCACAGCAUUAUACAAACUCUGAACUUUGCAACGCCUUGUACAAACUCCGAACUGUGUUGCACAAGUAAAAUUUUUAGGCGUACACAGAUACUGCACAGAGUUGCACAAUUGUUCCACAAAGUUGCAUUAGUUUAUCGCUGUAUUUGUACAAGUACUCUAAACUAGGGGUAUCAACGAGUCAAACACAUGCUGACUCGUAAAAAUAUUGAGUCAAAAAAUUUAGCUCGUAUUAGGCUCAUUUAUUAAUGAGCCAAAGCCGAGAUUGCUUACAAAAGUUAAAAAAAUUAAAAAGAAUAUAUAUAUAGAAAAUAAAAUUUUUAGAUCUUACCUAUUAAAUUUUGACGUAAUUCUUAAAAUUUUAUAUAUAAAUGAGCUUUUUCAUAAUUGAGUUGUGAUUUAGGUUAGACUAAAAAUCAAAUAAUAAAAAUUUAUAUUAUCUAUAUAUAAUUAUGUAUUAUUUAUAUAUAUAAAUAUAAAAUAUAUGUAUUUGAGCUAUUAACGGGCCGAACGCAAGCGAGCUGAUCCAGCUCAUAUUCGGCCCAUUUAUUAAACGAGCUGAAAAAUUCAACUUAUAUUCGGCUCGUUUACUAAACAAGCUAUUCGAUAUCAAGCUCAUUUCGAGCGAACACAAACUGGCUCGCAAACAACGAGCUGAAUUUCCACCCCUAACCCAAUCUGCUAUGGCGUCACCCCCUCCGAAGCAGCACAAACUUCUCAAGGAAGGAAGGUAUAAUAAACCGUUCCUCACUUCUUUAAUAUUAGUACAUUAUAUUACACUAUCUAUUACCAUAAAACUUCAAGCUACCCCACAACAUCAUAAUGGAUUUGAAAGUAAAUUUCAAACUAGGAAGAUUAUUCUUAUUUUUAAAUUGUGCGUAAUUAAAUCUCACAUCCAACCAAUCCAAAAGUUUAGCGAACUCUUUUAAAUUUUUAAUAUUAAUAAAACUAAAAAGUGAUGAGACUCAAGUGCAUGAAAAAAGAGCUUUUGGAUGAAGAAUAUAUAAAAUUUAUACCCACUUUUAGGUGUAACCAUUGCUCUUUCAUUUUUGUCCGCAUACCGAAUAAAAUACAAUUCAAGCAAAAUAACUAAUCAUACUAUCUAAAAAAUAUAUACAUGUCAAAAUAAUAACUACUAUUAUUAAAAAUUAAUGAUAAUAAUAAUUAUAUUAUAUAUAUAUAGAGAGAGAGAGAAUAGGGCUACUGUGCUCUUAGUAGUACGGAGGCCUCCAUAGUCCUAAACCAUUUUUCAUCAUAAAAUUUUCGGAUUGACUAUCGACUCCGUUAGACUUGAUCCAAUGUGUUUGAAGUACAUCGAAAAUAAAUUUUAUCAUUUUUUUGAUAUCAUAAACCUAGUGAUCAAAAAAUGUUCAAAAUUAAUGACUGAAAAUAAAAUCUCAAAGAAAUUAAUGAUAUAACAUUAAAAUUUUCGAUCAGAGAUAUUCAUCUUGUUGAAAAUCGUAUAAAAAUUUUAUAUCAAAAUCUCAUCUGAUUUGAAUACUUCUACAUCGUUAAACUUGAAAACGACAUACAUCAACCAUUAAAUAUUAUUAAUUUUGAACCCUUUCGAUCUCUAGGUAUGUAAAUAAUAUCGAAAAAUCAUAAAUUUUAUUUUAUAGAUUUUUCAAAUACAUUAGAUUAAGUCUAAAUAAGUUGAUCGUCGACUCGAAAGUUUUAUCAUCGAAAAUGAUUUAGGAGUACAGCACUCUUACUCUCUCUCUCUCUAUAUAUAUAGAAUUAUGCUACUAUAUAUACUAUCGAUCAUAUCAAGGCUUGAUAGUAUUGAGUUUUUGGCCGUUGGAUGAAAGAAUGUGCGGUUAGGAUAAUAGUGGUCUAUAUAUAGAAUUAUGCUACUAUACUAUCGUACCAUACGUUUAGUACUAUCGAGUUUUCAACCGUUGGAUAAAAAGAUAUACGAUUAUAAUGAUAAUAGUCCCCUAGAGUUGAGUGGGUGGUUGGUUGAAUAGUAUAGUCUAACGUAUAAAAAUGAUUAAAGAAUAAAUUGAACAGCAGAGAAUUUGAUAGUAUCAAAAGUUUAAUAUUAUCGAUAGUAUAGUAACACAAUUUUCCCUCCCCUCUCUCUCUCUCUCUCUCUCUCUCAUCUUCUCUUCAUCUCCGUCCUCACUCUCUCUCUCUCCUCUCGCCCCUUCUCUCACCUCCCUAUAAUAUAUAAUAGUAUAUUAUAUAGUAUAUAUUAUAUUUAUAUAUAAAAUUGAGGUUCUAUGCUUUUAAAAGUACCAAAGUUAUUGCGUGCUUUAUAGAUUUUUGGCCAUUGGAUUAAGGAUGAGCCUCGUGGUUAGGAUGACGUGGGCCUCGCUAGGGUUGAUGUGGGUGGUUGGCUUGAAAUAGUAUAAAUGUAAGCGAUUUGAUAAAUGAUCAAAGGAUAAAUCUAACGGUUAAAAAUUUUACAAGCGCAAAGUGUUGAGUGCUUUUAGCAAGCCACCGUAGCGCGAGUUCUAUAUAUUAUAUAUAUAUAGAGGAGAGAUGAGACGAGAGAGAGAGAGGAGAGAGAGAGAGUUGAAGGUAGAUACUAUCUGAUAGCAAACGAGGCUUUCAUUGCCAUCAUGUUGUUUUCGAUGAUAUGAGCUCCAAAUCGACGAUCGUACCGUUGAACAUGAUUCUAUUUACCACUGAGUGUUAGAAUCAAAUUCAAAUCUUUUUCGACAUCAUUUAUGCCCUAAUGAUUCAAAGGGUUUCAAAAUUUAUAAUUUUAAGGCAUAAUAUGAGACGUUUCUCGUUUACAGAUAAAAGAUAUCCCAAAUCAAAUUAAUUUUGUUAGAAAAUUCUUUAAAUUGUUUAAAAAAGUAUCUAUACUCUUAUCUUAACUACAGCUCCUUAUCAUCAUUUUUAAAAAUAUUUAUUUUCAGCCGGUCAUUUUUGUGUCACUCGAUGAUAAGAGAAGCAAUAUCGUAAAUAUAUAAAAUUUGAUUUCUAAAUAAUUUCAAGUGGUAUAGAUCAUAUUCAACGGCUGCCGCGAUUAUUGAUUGAAGACUCCAUCAUUGAAAACAAUAUGAAGUGGCAACAGACGCGUUUGCUACGCGGAUAGUAUUUAGCUCAACUAUAUAUAUUACUAUAUAUAUAUUAUAUAUAUUAUAUAUAAUAUUAUAUAUACUAUAAUAUAUAUAUAUAUAUAUUAUAGAAAAUUAGCUGGACAAUAACUAUUAUAGUGAAAAGCUUGCUUUUUGGCUAUCACAGUUUUUAACCUCUUGAUGAAAAUUCUAAAGUCAGGAUUGAUAUUAGUCGUUAGGUUGAGGUGGUCCCCACUGGGUUAUAGUAUUUAAAUCCAAUGGUUAGAAAUAAUGAAAAGAUUGCAUCCAAAGGCUUAAAACUGUAGAACAUGGAAUUUUGCCUACUAAUAGUGCCCAUUCCAGACACUCUUAAUAUAUUAUAUAUAUAUAUAUAUAUAUAUACUAUAUAUUAUUAUAUAUAUAUAUAUAUAUAUAGAGAGGACGAAGACGACGAGAUCAUGAGAGAUGAGCACAGCUCGACCGUCCAGGCCCGAUUCUUCCACGGCCCCAUCUGUUCUGUCUUCUGCUCAGCUUCGUUCCUCAUCCUCGGCUCCUAGCGCGAAGACCACUUCGGAUCUGCCGCUCGAUUGACAUAGAGCCGCGUCGUCCUCGGGGCCUCCUCGUCUGCGUAUCGGGGGCCCUACUUUUCGCCCUUCGAGACCGGAGAGAGAGAGAGAGAGAGAGAGAGUUUGACUGGGCUACUAUUGGUAGUAAACUGCUCGGUUUACUACCGAUUUGUUUUUGAUGAUAGAGCUUCCAAAUCGACGAUCGGCACCGUUGAACAUGAUCUAGACCAUUUAAAUUAUCUAGAAAUCAAAUUUCAUAAUUUUUUGGCAUCACUAACUGAACGAUCAAAGGGUCACAAAAUCUAUAAUUUUAAUAGCUGAUAUGGUGCGUUUGCUCGUUUCACGGUAUAGAAAAAUUCAAAUAAACUAAAUUUUUGUGAAAAAAUUCUUUAAACUAUUUAAAAUAAGAUCUAGACUCUAGAUCUCAAAUAUAAAAAUUGUAUCAUCACUUUUUGAAGGAUAUUCAUUUCCAGCCAUUAAUUUAUCUGUUCACUUGAUGGACAAGAGAACAAUAUCGAAAAUUAUUGAAAUUUGAUUUCUAGAUAAUUUAAAUGGUCUAGAUCAUGUUCAACAGUGCCGAUCGUCGAUUUAGAAGCUCUAUCAUCAAAAACAAAUCGGUAGUAAACCGAGCAGUUUACUACCGAUAGUAGCCCAGUCAAACUCUCUCUCUCUCUCUCUCUCUCUCUC
This 18685-nucleotide long non-coding RNA is filed under the name Ananas comosus (pineapple). RNAcentral describes it as "long non-coding RNA (ACOM_LNC002918)". The record is from RNAcentral. Lineage: Eukaryota; Viridiplantae; Streptophyta; Magnoliopsida; Poales; Bromeliaceae.